AUUGAACGCUGGCGGCAGGCCUAACACAUGCAAGUCGAGCGGAUGAAGAGAGCUUGCUCUCUGAUUCAGCGGCGGACGGGUGAGUAAUGCCUAGGAAUCUGCCUGGUAGUGGGGGACAACGGUUCGAAAGGAACGCUAAUACCGCAUACGUCCUACGGGAGAAAGUGGGGGAUCUUCGGACCUCACGCUAUCAGAUGAGCCGAGGUACGAUUAGCUAGUUGGUGAGGUAAAGGCUCAACAAGGCGACGAUCGUUAACUGGUCUGAGAGGAUGAUCAGUCACACUGGAACUGAGACACGGUCGAGACUCCUACGGGAGGCAGCAGUGGGAAUAUUGGACAAUGGGCGAAAGCCUGAUCCAGCCAUGCCGCGUGUGUGAAGAAGGUCUUCGGAUUGUAAAGCACUUUAAGUUGGGAGGAAGGGCAGUAAGUUAAUACCUUGCUGUUUUGACGUUACCGACAGAAUAAGCACCGGCUAACUUCGUGCCAGCCGCCGCGGUAA
RNAcentral lists this ribosomal RNA (499 nucleotides) under uncultured bacterium. RNAcentral's name for it is "partial 16S ribosomal RNA". It matches the Rfam family "Bacterial small subunit ribosomal RNA", at positions 30 to 523 of the family's 1533-position model. The record is from RNAcentral.